This 492-nucleotide ribosomal RNA is filed under the name uncultured bacterium. Its description in RNAcentral is "partial 16S ribosomal RNA". It matches the Rfam family "Bacterial small subunit ribosomal RNA", at positions 29 to 507 of the family's 1533-position model. The record is from RNAcentral.
AGUGAACGCUGGCGGUAGGCCUAACACAUGCCAGUCGAACGGCAGCACAGUAAGAGCUUGCUCUUACGGGUGGCGAGUGGCGGACGGGUGAGGAAUACAUCGGAAUCUACUUUUUCGUGGGGGAUAACGUAGGGAAACUUACGCUAAUACCGCAUACGACCUACGGGUGAAAGCAGGGGAUCUUCGGACCUUGCGCGAUUGAAUGAGCCGAUGUCGGAUUAGCUAGUUGGCGGGGUAAAGGCCCACCAAGGCGACGAUCCGUAGCUGGUCUGAGAGGAUGAUCAGCCACACUGGAACUGAGCCACGGUCCAGACUCCUACGGGAGGCAGCAGUGGGGAAUAUUGGACAAUGGGCGCAAGCCUGAUCCAGCCAUACCGCGUGGGUGAAGAAGGCCUUCGGGUUGUAAAGCCCUUUUAUUGGGAAAGAAAAGCAGCAGGUUAAUACCCCGCUGUUCUGACGGUACCCAAAGAAUAAGCACCGGCUAACUUCGUG